GAUGAAGAACGUAGUGAAAUGCGAUAAGUAAUGUGAAUUGCAGAAUUCAGUGAAUCAUCGAAUCUUUGAACGCACAUUGCGCCCGCCAGUAUUCUGGCGGGCAUGCCUGUUCGAGCGUCAUUUCAACCAUCAAGCCCCAGGCUUGUGUUGGGGACCUGCGGCUGCCGCAGGCCCUGAAAACCAGUGGCGGGCUCGCUGUCACACCGGGCGUAGUAGAUUUUAUCUCGCUCAGGGCGUGCUGCGGGUUCCGGCCGUUAAAAAGCCUUUUUUACCCAAGGUUGACCUCGGAUCAGGUAGGAAGACCCGCUGAACUUAAGCAUACAAAUAAGCGGAGGA
Molecule: unclassified non-coding RNA, 336 nt
Filed under: soil metagenome
Description: partial contains 5.8S ribosomal RNA, internal transcribed spacer 2, and large subunit ribosomal RNA
Rfam family: 5.8S ribosomal RNA (bases 1-120)
Source: RNAcentral